This 880-nucleotide ribosomal RNA is filed under the name uncultured bacterium. RNAcentral's name for it is "bacterial SSU rRNA". It matches the Rfam family "Bacterial small subunit ribosomal RNA", at positions 621 to 1501 of the family's 1533-position model. The record is from RNAcentral.
CUGCAAUUAAAACUGCUCGACUAGAGUUUGAUAGAGGAAAGCGGAAUACAUAGUGUAGAGGUGAAAUUCGUAGAUAUUAUGUAGAACACCAGUUGCGAAGGCGGCUUUCUGGAUCAACACUGACGCUGAGGCGCGAAAGUAUGGGUAGCAAAGAGGAUUAGAUACCCUCGUAGUCCAUACCAUAAACGAUGAUUGCUAGAUGUUGGAAAUUUAUUUUCAGUAUCGCAGCUAACGCAUUAAGCAAUCCGCCUGGGGAGUACGACCGCAAGGUUAAAACUCAAAUGAAUUGACGGGGACCCGCACAAGCGGUGGAGCAUGUGGUUUAAUUCGAAGAUACGCGCAGAACCUUACCAACCCUUGACAUGUCUGUCGCGAGUUUAGGAAACUAGACUUUUCGGUUCGGCCGGACAGAACACAGGUGCUGCAUGGCUGUCGUCAGCUCGUGUCGUGAGAUGUUGGGUUAAGUCCCGCAACGAGCGCAACCCCUACUUUUAGUUGCCAUCAGGUCAUGCUGGGCACUCUGAAAGAACUGCCAGUGAUAAGCUGGAGGAAGGUGGGGAUGACGUCAAGUCCUCAUGGCCCUUACGGGUUGGGCUACACACGUGCUACAAUGGUAGUGACAAUGAGAUGCAAGGUGGCGACGCUAAGCUAAACUCAAAAAUCUACCUCAGUUCGGAUUGCACUCUGCAACUCGAGUGCAUGAAGCUGGAAUCGCUAGUAAUCGUAGAUCAGCGUGCUACGGUGAAUACGUUCCCGGGUCUUGUACACACCGCCCGUCACACCAUGGAAGUUGGUUCUACCUUAAAGCAGAUUGCUAACUGCAAGGAGGCGUUUGACCAAGGUAUAGUCAGCGACUGGGGUGAAGUCGUAAAAGGUAACC